UAGUCCUGCACGAACCAGCGGAAGCUGAGGAUCUGCACCAGCACGGAGGGCAGCAGCACGAAGGCCAGGGUCAGGCCGCACCACACGUAGUCCCGCCGCCCGUAGUGGUGCAGGGCCAGCCACAGGUGGAGAGCAAUAGUAUUAAACAUUCUUGGAACAAAGAGAACAUGAUAGAAUACUGCAGGACCCCAUGCUACAGACUUCAAAGGCCACAAGAUUUUUCUUGCUUUCUGCUGACUUAAGCUCUGUUAUGAGACCAGGCAGAACUAUGAAUAUGGAAAUGAAUGACACUGAGACCCUAAUCCUCUGUCUUGGCUGACAAAAAUUAACUUACACUCAGAGGAGAAAUGCUUAUAUUUGGGGAUCAUUCUUCCGCCUUGCAAUUGAAAAGCAAACCAGAGAAUCAGCAGGCCAGUUCUGAGGACUAAGGAUCCUGACACCUGUUAUUGCUGAGAAGCAUCUUUAUUGUGGAUUAAACUGUUUCACAGUCUUAAAGGGUUGCUCAGUUUACAGGUUGACAGGAGAGACUGAGGGAGCCCCACGCAGUUUACAAGUGAAACAAGAUGGCACUGCAAGCUCAGUUCAGUACAACGUCUGAAAAUCAAACUCUUAUUUCUGCCUCGUGCAUCAGCACCAACAAUAACGCAUCUUCAGCUGGAACUUAGCAGGGGGCUCUGUUGUUCAGGCAUGAGGCAGUGGAGAAUCCAGCUCACUCUUCCGUGGUGAGAGAGAGAAUCUCUGCUGUAUUGAAAGUUGGAGGUGUUGGUAAACCAAACAGAUACAGUAUGACUUUGACUUAGAAGACACCCAGUGGUCAAUUAACCUGUCGAUUAACCUACAUAGCUUCUAUCUGCCUGACUGAGUGCCACAUGCCCACAUCAAGAAGAACAGAUACCUCAUAGGGAGAGUAUCUGUGUAUUAACAAGGUGCUGUUUAUACUGUUAUUUGCCUCACCAUAAUAACACUGCUUCAACAACACUUGGUGGUGUUAGGCAAGACACAGCAGCGGCAAACCACUAUGUAUUAAAAAUCCAGCUCAGUCAUACUAAGAACCGAAUCCAAAGGAAUCAGAAGAAUAUUUGGUUAAGGCUUCAAAAAGCAUGGUGCUUCCGGAUGCCUUUCAUUUUAAUGUUAUAGGCUUGUCCUUGACUCUUAAUGUAAAAAAUGCAUUUGAUUAUUAAGCAUAUCACUGAGGAUUAAUGAGUCUGUAUUAGCCUCUACUGGUGUCUUAAAAUAAUUGAUCAGCAUGCAGGCUAGCAGUCAGCACAGGGGACUGGUUCUCAGUUCACUUCAUCCCAUAUAAAUUAUUUACGAGGUGAGGUGAAACUUGCUGGUUUUGAGGGAGUUUCGCUUUCCUAGGAAGAAGGAUUGUUUUGGGAUUAUAGGAUAGGCCAAAGAGUCAGGUAAAAUGGGUUCUAGCCUUGGCCCUGUCAGUGGGAGUGGGAUCCAUGAAGGUACUUAGGUGUCUAAACCACAGACUUAGCCACCUAACUCUUGGAUUUAGUCGCCUAAGUCCCAGUUUUGCCUCCACUGUGAGCCACAAAACUGCCACUGAAGUCGGUAGGUGCCUAAAGUCACUCAGCACUUACCUUGUGUAGAGUAAAAGUUCCCUUGGCACAAGGUUUCUCCCUCUGGGCAUGCACUUUGCUGCCUUGCUCUAGCUAUCCAGGAAACCGUCUCCUGCCUAAGCCCCAGAGCAAUUCACGAAUCACAAGAAGACAAGUACUCAGCUGCCGUCCGGGUCCCAGUCCGGUAGGCCCCCUUCAAAAUCUGGCCAGAAGAGGAGGUGCUCACCUUAUAGCGUUUAGCCUAUUGGUUAGAGCACCCAUCUAGAAUGUGGGAGACCCCAAUUCAAUUCCCACCUCAUUGCGAGAGAGGGAGAAAGCAUUUGGAUAGGGUUCUCCCAUCUCUCAGGAGAGUUCUCUAAUCACUGAGUUCUGGGAUAUUCUGAUAUGAGGCUCCCUCAGUCUCUCCUGUUGAAAUCUGUUCCACUUUGGAUAAAGACAGCAAGAGACGUUGGAGCAGGGGGACUGGUCCCGGGGUCUCCCAGCUCACCCAUGGGGGCCCUACCCCAGUGUUUAUCUACAACGGAACAAUCAUUGGGACCUUCAACCUGGACUUCGGCACCUAUCUCUGACAGAGGGGCAGAGCUUAGCACACCCCCCCUCUGGUCAGCGUCUCCCAUUGGCUAACCUAGGGGGCUUCCCGCCUAGUGACUGUUGUGGAGCGCGUUCUAAGGGGCCUAGCUGUCCCCGUUAAUUGUACAGGGCACCCGUACAAC
Mauremys reevesii (Reeves's turtle) is the source of this 2281-nucleotide long non-coding RNA. RefSeq lists it as uncharacterized. The transcript is spliced from 3 exons. The record is from RefSeq and is a predicted model, not a curated record. Lineage: Eukaryota; Metazoa; Chordata; Testudines; Geoemydidae.